This 253-nucleotide ribosomal RNA is filed under the name uncultured bacterium. RNAcentral's name for it is "partial 16S ribosomal RNA". It matches the Rfam family "Bacterial small subunit ribosomal RNA", at positions 524 to 776 of the family's 1533-position model. The record is from RNAcentral.
UACGUAGGGUGCAAGCGUUAAUCGGAAUUACUGGGCGUAAAGCGUGCGUAGGCGGUUUUGUAAGUCUGUCGUGAAAGCCCCGGGCUCAACCUGGGAAUUGCGAUGGAGACUGCAAGGCUUGAAUCUGGCAGAGGGGGGUAGAAUUCCACGUGUAGCAGUGAAAUGCGUAGAGAUGUGGAGGAACACCGAUGGCGAAGGCGGCCCCCUGGGUCAAGAUUGACGCUCAUGCACGAAAGCGUGGGGAGCAAACAGG